GGUGGAUCCCCGCUGGAGCGGCGACGUCCUCCCUUGCAUUCCUCUUCAGUCGUUGGCCCAAGAGCAACGUCACCGGCCUUGGCCGCCCGCGGGUUUCCUAUAUUGCAUACCUACCAGAAGGAAUUCGGACGACACAACGACCGACGUUCUCCGGGCGAUGUGGCUCCCCUUGUGUGGGCGCAGCGUGGGUUGAACCGCGAAGGCGAGUUUGUAUUCCGAGUCGCAGCCAAACGACGCGUCUCGACCCACGAGCUGCCGCCUGAGCUCUCGGAUGCAGUGCACCAGGAGGGCAAGGGUUGCUCGAUGACCUCUAUUUGCCCGAACUUGGCGUCAAUCGCUCGCACCGAAC
Molecule: unclassified non-coding RNA, 349 nt
Filed under: Tocoyena pittieri
Lineage: Eukaryota; Viridiplantae; Streptophyta; Magnoliopsida; Gentianales; Rubiaceae
Description: partial external transcribed spacer
Source: RNAcentral